Molecule: long non-coding RNA, 1226 nt
Organism: Cucurbita moschata (crookneck pumpkin)
Lineage: Eukaryota; Viridiplantae; Streptophyta; Magnoliopsida; Cucurbitales; Cucurbitaceae
Exons: 5
Source: RefSeq, a predicted model, not a curated record
AAGCAUGCACCCUCGUCCCUCCCACCCGCGCGAUUAAAUAUAGUUCGGAGGGAACUUACAAAGUUGCUACACAAAGAGGCGCGAAACCAAUCCCUCGAAAAAAGCUCUCCAUAUUUAGAAACUUCUCGGUUCUCGCCAUGGCCGUUUCUUCUUUCCGUUCUUCUUCUUCUCUCUCUCUAUCUCUGUCUCUCCGUCUCUCUGCAUUUUUCAUCGCCAAAUGCAUGGAGUUUCGUCGAUGUCUCUUUCGGAUUCUGAUGAUUCAAGCCGAAUCAAUCACUGAAAAAUCAUCUGUCCCUCAGCUGUUUCUUCAUAUUUGGCUCCCUUAUCUCCUUUAUGUUGUCAACUAAAGGGACUUUAAAUUGAGUCCUCACUUUGGCGUAGCUUUCCACACUUGGAUCAUGGAUUUGUGAUUCUCAACUGUUUGAAGCUUCAUAUCUUGUAAAGUAGCUGACCACGCAAAUAGCUUCCUGGAUUUAAUGUCAAGUGCGUACAGUAUUCGCUCAGGCAUGUUAUGAUCCUGUUUGGCGGUGCUGCACACUGUUUCAUUUGUGAGUUACGGAUGAUCAGAACCCUUGGUACAUCAUGGGAAGGCUUAUCAAUUAUAGGUGAUCAUCUUCUCACUAUGGGUGCUAUGAAAUCAUUUGUAUGUUUCUAAAUAUUGAAACAUAACUUGUUAGCAUGGAGAUGAGAUGACGUUACAGGCAGAUACCUCUUUACCGAUACUCUUUUCGCUUCUCUGAAGUCCUUAAUCUAACUACAAAUUCCUAGUAGGAUCUUAAGUUGUAAGAUCCCCCAAUUAUAUCCGAAAGGUCAUAAUUCUCUUGGAAAAUCCUUUCAUUUCCUCUUCCAUAUCUCCCACAAGAUUGCUCUAACUACAUUCUUCCUUGGGUGAGAUGAUCAUAAAGAGUUCAUAUAAGGAAACUCCUUAGUUCUUUGGAAUCAUGAUAGGCAUGAGUAUUGGGGAUGAAAUCUAAUGGAAACAGGCCAAUGAAAUUGCUACAAGUGAAUACAUUUAACAAAUAGUUAGGAAGUAAGUUAAACUUUAACAGUGCUAGCUAACUUUUACUAUGCCCUUGGAAAAGAUAUGUUGUCUGUAUAGGUGGGUUUAGUAGGUUGAAUAACCAAUCAAUACACAGAAAUACCUAUUGGCUCGUUAGACACAACACCUAAUUGCUCCCUGAAAAACAACUAGCCAGACCAUAAGGUUUUUUGGGAUGAAAUUUUCG